This 274-nucleotide ribosomal RNA is filed under the name uncultured bacterium. Its description in RNAcentral is "partial 16S ribosomal RNA". It matches the Rfam family "Bacterial small subunit ribosomal RNA", at positions 30 to 304 of the family's 1533-position model. The record is from RNAcentral.
AUUGAACGCUGGCGGCAGGCCUAACACAUGCAAGUCGAGCGGUAGAGAGGUGCUUGCAUCUCUUGAGAGCGGCGGACGGGUGAGUAAUGCCUAGGAAUCUGCCUAGUGGUGGGGGAUAACGUUCGGAAACGGACGCUAAUACCGCAUACGUCCUACGGGAGAAAGCGGGGGAUCUUCGGACCUCGCGCCAUUAGAUGAGCCUAGGUCGGAUUAGCUAGUUGGUGAGGUAAUGGCUCACCAAGGCGACGAUCCGUAACUGGUCUGAGAGGAUGAU